This is a long non-coding RNA of Cyprinus carpio carpio, 2041 nucleotides long. NCBI's taxonomy places the organism in Eukaryota, Metazoa, Chordata, Actinopteri, Cypriniformes, Cyprinidae. The record is from Ensembl.
UAUUAUUAUUAUUAUUAUUAUUAUUAUUAUUAUUCUUCUGCCCUAAAACUGAUCGUGCAGACCAAACCGUAAGGCCUAGAGACUUGAAAUUUGGCCAGAUUGUAGAGCUCAAUUUGGGGAGAACCUAUCAAACUCUCGACCCAAUCGGCCUAACGGGGGCGCUACAGCGCAAAAAACAAGAAUUUCGGACAUUUUUGGCCCGCAGUCGUAAACCGUUUGUCGUAGACUCAAAAACAUGGCAUCGUUGCAAUCCUUGGGUUUGCCCGAACAAAAGUGUACACUGCCUUUUUUUGCUCUACGGUGCAUCGUUUUCUCGCAAAAUCGAGUUAUAUCUGAAACCUACUUUUGCGAACUAGUCCUAGGAUUUUCACCCGAUCAGAACCAAACCACUGCAGAAAUAUUCUCUGGACACUCAAUAUCAAUAAUUAUCGAAAAAAAGUUGAAAUUUUGAUUCUUACGCGAAACAGUACGCCAAAAAGCAUCUAUGCUAACGUGAACCAAAUGUUAUUUUAGCUAUAACUCUUGAAUGGAAUGAAAUAUCUUAACCAAACUCGGUACACAUGUGUAUAAGCUCAAUUUGUGGUCAAAUAAAAAAAAUUGCGCACCUCUGCCACUUGGGGGCGCUAUAAGACAGAAAAAACACAUAAAUGGCUAUAACUAGGCAACCGUUGGUCCGAUCGACUUGAAAAUUGGUAUGCAGUUUCUUUGUCUGAAGGGGCACAAAUAUCUAUGAGGACAUUGGCGUAUCUCAAAAAACAUAGCCGCCAUUGGCCAAUGAAGUUUGAGCUAUUAUUAGACAAGGUUAACGGAGGUCAAUCAGGACGAAACUUGGUAGGCAUGUUCGACUCAUGGCCCUAAAGGUCUGUAAGAAUUUUGAAAGAAAUCGGCCACUAGUUGGCGCUAACGAGUUUUUUGGCUCUGUAAUCACGUGGUGUUUCACAUAUGCAUGCAAUAUGGAUAUCAUUUGAUAGAUCUCCUCAUAAUGCACAACUUUGCCUCAAGAACCAUUACUGUCAGUCAAAUCGUUCAUGAAUUAUUCACAAAUAUGUUUAAAAACAUACUUUUGCGAACUACUCCUAGGUUUUUCGCCCGAUCGGAACCAAACAACUGCUGUAAUAUUCUGUGGACUCUCUAGAUCAAUAAUUAUCGAAAAAAUCUUGAAUUUUGUUCUUUGUUUAGCUUUAAAGGGGUAAUUUAGAAAAGGGGAUUGGCCAAACAUACCCCAAAGCCUAUAAAGCCAAAACAAAUAGUCAAAACUUUAUGAAACUUGGUGAAAACAUGUGGCAGAUGACUCUGAACAAGCAUGCAAAGAUUCAUGGAGAUCGGACCAUAGGUGGCGCUAUAACAGUACAAAAGGUCUCAAAAACACAAAUUUUAUAUGGUAAAUGGCCUCAAAUUGGUUGAAAAUGCUCAUUUAUUCGCACAAACACGAGAUCUUCAUAUCGUAUGAUAGAUAUCCUCAUUCUGAACAACUUUGCCUCUGGGACCAAUGUUGUCAAUAAAACUGUUAAUUAAAUAUUAUAUAAAAUAAAUGAAAUAAGCUAAUUAACAAACUAGUUCAAGGUUUUAAGCUGAAAAUCAAUUAAACCACUUCAGUAGAAUUCUCUAGCUAAUCUAGGUCAAUAUUUAUCAAAAAAAAUGUUGAACAUUUGCAUUUGGACAACUAUAAACUGGUCAUUUUCUGAUAUGUUCUUUAUGUAGUGUAACCAAAGGCCUACUAAUACAAACAGAAAGCCCACAAAUUCUCAAGACUGUGUAAAAUAAUGCAUAAUUUCAUUCUAAACAAGCAUGCAAAAUUUAAGAGAGAUUGGGCAAAAAAUAUCACUCUAAUGGUUAAAAAGGUUAAAAACACAGUGUGUAUGUGUGUCUACGUGAAUAUGCUUAUAGAGUAUUAAUAUAAAAGUUUAAUCAUUUAAUUUCAGUGUGUGUAUGUGUGUUGUGUGUCUGUGAGCCUAUUCUCCAUUUUGGAUGUGUUUAACUGUCAGCCAUACAUCAAGGUUGGCCAAGACCACCUCAAAGGCCUUAAAGUGCUUGAACCCCG